CGAAAGCCUGACGGAGCAAGACCGCGUGGGGGAGGAAGGCUCUUGGGUUGUAAACCCCUUUUCUCAGGGAAGAACAAAUGACGGUACCUGAGGAAUCAGCCUCGGCUAACUCCGUGCCAGCAGCCGCGGUAAUACGGAGGAGGCAAGCGUUAUCCGGAAUUAUUGGGCGUAAAGAGUCCGUAGGUGGUCUCACAAGUCGACUGUCAAAGCCCGCAGCUUAACUGCGGAGAGGCGGUGGAAACUGUGAGACUAGAGUAUGGUAGGGGUAGAGGGAAUUCCCAGUGUAGCGGUGAAAUGCGUAGAUAUUGGGAAGAACACCGGUGGCGAAAGCGCUCUACUGGACCAUAACUGACACUCAGGGACGAAAGCUAGGGGAGCG
This 379-nucleotide ribosomal RNA is filed under the name uncultured cyanobacterium. RNAcentral's name for it is "bacterial SSU rRNA". It matches the Rfam family "Bacterial small subunit ribosomal RNA", at positions 376 to 770 of the family's 1533-position model. Lineage: Bacteria; Bacillati; Cyanobacteriota. The record is from RNAcentral.